Non-coding RNA from Acanthosepion pharaonis, 108 nucleotides. NCBI's taxonomy places the organism in Eukaryota, Metazoa, Mollusca, Cephalopoda, Sepiida, Sepiidae. The record is from the annotation of a GenBank genome assembly.
CCGUAUCACGUUGAAACACCGGUUCAUCUACGAGCACCGAAGUUAAACAACGUCGCGCCUGGUCAGUACCUGGAUGGGUGACUGCUUGGGAACACUAGGCGCUGUAAG